RNAcentral lists this ribosomal RNA (253 nucleotides) under uncultured bacterium. RNAcentral describes it as "partial 16S ribosomal RNA". It matches the Rfam family "Bacterial small subunit ribosomal RNA", at positions 524 to 776 of the family's 1533-position model. The record is from RNAcentral.
UACAGAGGGGGCAAGCGUUGUUCGGAAUUACUGGGCGUAAAGGGCGCGUAGGCGGCCUUCUAAGUCGAACGUGAAAUCCCCGGGCUCAACCCGGGAACUGCGUCCGAUACUGGAAGGCUUGAAUCCGGGAGAGGGAUGCGGAAUUCCAGGUGUAGCGGUGAAAUGCGUAGAUAUCUGGAGGAACACCGAUAGCGAAGGCAGCUUGCUACACAGUUAUUGACACUGAGGCACGAAAGCGUGGGGAGCAAACAGG